RNAcentral lists this ribosomal RNA (253 nucleotides) under uncultured bacterium. Its description in RNAcentral is "partial 16S ribosomal RNA". It matches the Rfam family "Bacterial small subunit ribosomal RNA", at positions 524 to 776 of the family's 1533-position model. The record is from RNAcentral.
GACGAACCGUCCAAACGUUAUUCGGAAUUACUGGGCUUAAAGGGUGCGUAGGCGGCGCGGAAAGUUGGGUGUGAAAUCCCUCGGCUCAACCGAGGAACUGCGCCCGAUACUGUAGUGCUUGAGGGAGACAGAGGUAAGCGGAACUGAUGGUGGAGCGGUGAAAUGCGUUGAUAUCAUCAGGAACACCGGUGGCGAAAGCGGCUUACUGGGUCUCUUCUGACGCUGAGGUACGAAAGCUAGGGGAGCGAACGGG